UGGGGAAUAUUGGACAAUGGGCGCAAGCCUGAUCCAGCCAUGCCGCGUGAGUGAUGAAGGCCCUAGGGUUGUAAAGCUCUUUCACCGGUGAAGAUAAUGACGGUAACCGGAGAAGAAGCCCCGGCUAACUUCGUGCCAGCAGCCGCGGUAAUACGAAGGGGGCUAGCGUUGUUCGGAUUUACUGGGCGUAAAGCGCACGUAGGCGGACUUUUAAGUCAGGGGUGAAAUCCCGGGGCUCAACCCCGGGACUGCCUUUGAUACUGGAAGUCUUGAGUAUGGUAGAGGUGAGUGGAAUUCCGAGUGUAGAGGUGAAAUUCGUAGAUAUUCGGAGGAACACCAGUGGCGAAGGCGGCUCACUGGACCAUUACUGACGCUGAGGUGCGAAAGCGUGGGGAGCAAACAGG
RNAcentral lists this ribosomal RNA (404 nucleotides) under Pseudomonas sp. RNAcentral's name for it is "partial 16S ribosomal RNA". It matches the Rfam family "Bacterial small subunit ribosomal RNA", at positions 355 to 776 of the family's 1533-position model. Lineage: Bacteria; Pseudomonadati; Pseudomonadota; Gammaproteobacteria; Pseudomonadales; Pseudomonadaceae. RNAcentral also lists the same sequence under 3 other names. The record is from RNAcentral.